GAUGAACGCUAGCGGCAGGCUUAAUACAUGCAAGUCGAACGGGAAUUGGGUAGCAAUACCUGAUGAUAGUGGCGCACGGGUGCGUAACGCGUAUGCAACCUACCUUUAACAGGGGGAUAGCCCGGAGAAAUUCGGAUUAAUACCCCACUAGUAUUAUGGAGAGGCAUCUUUUCUAUGAUUAAAGUUACCGGCGGUUAAAGAUGGGCAUGCGUGCCAUUAGCUAGUUGGUGAGGUAACGGCUCACCAAGGCGACGAUGGUUAGGGGUCCUGAGAGGGUUAUCCCCCACACUGGUACUGAGACACGGACCAGACUCCUACGGGAGGCAGCAGUAAGGAAUAUUGGUCAAUGGGCGGAAGCCUGAACCAGCCAUGCCGCGUGCAGGAAGACGGCCUUAUGGGUUGUAAACUGCUUUUGUCAGGGAAUAAACCCUCGUUUGCGAACGAGGCUGAAGGUACCUGAAGAAUAAGCAUCGGCUAACUCCGUG
Molecule: ribosomal RNA, 485 nt
Filed under: uncultured bacterium
Lineage: Bacteria
Description: bacterial SSU rRNA
Rfam family: Bacterial small subunit ribosomal RNA
Source: RNAcentral